Molecule: ribosomal RNA, 464 nt
Filed under: Streptococcus australis
Lineage: Bacteria; Bacillati; Bacillota; Bacilli; Lactobacillales; Streptococcaceae
Description: bacterial SSU rRNA
Rfam family: Bacterial small subunit ribosomal RNA
Source: RNAcentral
GAUGAACGCUGGCGGCGUGCCUAAUACAUGCAAGUAGAACGCUGAAGGAAGGAGCUUGCUCUUUCCGGAUGAGUUGCGAACGGGUGAGUAACGCGUAGGUAACCUGCCUGGUAGCGGGGGAUAACUAUUGGAAACGAUAGCUAAUACCGCAUAACAGUAGAUGUUGCAUGACAUUUACUUGAAAGGUGCAAAUGCACCACUACCAGGUGGACCUGCGUUGUAUUAGCUAGUUGGUGAGGUAACGGCUCACCAAGGCGACGAUGCAUAGCCGACCUGAGAGGGUGAUCGGCCACACUGGGACUGAGACACGGCCCAGACUCCUACGGGAGGCAGCAGUAGGGAAUCUUCGGCAAUGGACGGAAGUCUGACCGAGCAACGCCGCGUGAGUGAAGAAGGUUUUCGGAUCGUAAAGCUCUGUCGUAAGAGAAGAACGAGUGUGAGAGUGGAAAGUUCACAGGGUGACG